RNAcentral lists this long non-coding RNA (1328 nucleotides) under Lupinus angustifolius (narrow-leaved blue lupine). RNAcentral's name for it is "long non-coding RNA (LANG_LNC001549)". The record is from RNAcentral. Lineage: Eukaryota; Viridiplantae; Streptophyta; Magnoliopsida; Fabales; Fabaceae.
UUGAUAUCAAAAUCACAAUAUUACAGUUUUGAGCAUAUACAUCUUAGUAAAUUUCCAUUACCAUUUCCCAGCUUUUUUGGAUUUCUUACCCAAACGAAAUAUUUGGAAAUGAAAGGAUUUUUGUAAUGCUUAUGUCAAGUCUAUCUCCAACUAGAAGUGCAAGCAUAUGUGAAUUCCCUUACCAAUUGCCAGCCCAAUUUUGAAUUUUUUAUCCCCAAUUAACAGAGUCCUACACACUAGGAUAUCAAAUGUGGCGUUGUAUCUGGAAAUGGUAAGAGAAUUUUAUGUCUACUAUAUCCUGCAGCGUGCCAAGUAUAUUAAUACUGAGAUUCUCAUUAAUAUUUGGUUGCCUAAUUUUGGUCAACCUUAUUUUAAAAGCAUGACAUUUAACAUUUUAUAUAAAAAGAUAAAAUUUGAUAUUGAGAGGAAUACAUAAUAAGUUGUUUGCUUUUUUUUUUUAUAGUAACCUAAACUUAGUUUAAGAAACUAUAAAUAACAUCACUAACUUAAACCCAAGGUUCGGGACUUGGGAAGAGGUUCUCACAUUAGCCUCCUACAAAACUUUAAUCGAGCCGAACUCGAGCUAAAAAAGUAAUUCGUAUCAAACUUGAGUCGAAUUUUGAGCUGAACAAAUUCUUAGUUGAGCUUUGGUUCGGCUCAUUUCCAACCAUGAUUUUCAUUACAUCUAAAUAGGGAUGAAAAUGCGUCGAAUCGAGUUGAAUCAGAACCCGCUUUGGUUCGAUAAGGAUUUGCUCAGCUCGAAACUCAACUCGAGUUUGUUACGAGUUAUUUUUUUAGCUCGGGUUUGAUUCGGUUAAAGUUCACGAAUUAUUCGUUUCAGCUCGAAUUGAUUCAUUUGACAAUUUAGAUAAUUAAUUCAUUUUUAAAAAAAUAUUGCACAAAGUUAUAUAUAAAUACAACAACAAUAAACAUAAAAAUAAUGCACACUCAUGGUAUAAUCACAUUAAACAUAAAAAAUAGUUUAUAUAUAUUUAAAUAUAAUAUAUAUAAGUAUAGAUGUACAUAUAAAUAUUAUAUAUAUAUAUAUAUAUUUAUAUAUAUAUAUAGCUCAUAAACCUAACAAGUCGAAAUAUAUUUAGUUCAAGUUCGGCUCCUUUAUGUAAUGAGCUCAAUUUACAACUUAAGAUCGACUCAUUUGGUUCAUGAAUCAAGUUUAUUGAACUAAAUAAUGAGUCGAGUUCCAAACAAAUACCGAAUUUGUUCAGUUCAUUGUCCGUCAUACUUUCACAAUGACUAUAAUUACAAUAACCACAACUGCAAUCACAAUUACAAUGUAAAACAAAUUACUUCACUCCUCUAAUUUUCAC